RNAcentral lists this ribosomal RNA (119 nucleotides) under Heterocephalus glaber (naked mole-rat). The record is from RNAcentral. Lineage: Eukaryota; Metazoa; Chordata; Mammalia; Rodentia; Bathyergidae.
GUCUACAGGCAUGCCACCCUGAACAGGCCCGAUCUUAUCUGAUCUCAGAAGCUAAGCAGGGUCGGGCCUGGUUAUACUUGGAUGGGAAACCAAAUGGCUGGCGGAGGAAGCAGUGAGUG